GGGCCCGCACAAGCGGUGGAGUAUGUGGUUUAAUUCGAUGCAACGCGAAGAACCUUACCAGGGUUUGACAUCCUGCGAAUCUCUUGGAAACGAGAGAGUGCCUUCGGGAACGCAGUGACAGGUGGUGCAUGGCUGUCGUCAGCUCGUGUCGUGAGAUGUUGGGUUAAGUCCCGCAACGAGCGCAACCCACGUCUUUAGUUGCCAGCAGUUCGGCUGGGCACUCUAUGGAAACUGCCCGUGAUAAGCGGGAGGAAGGUGUGGAUGACGUCAAGUCCUCAUGGCCCUUACGGUUGGGCUACACACGUGCUACAAUGGCUAGGACAGACGGCCGCAAACCCGCGAGGGGAG
Molecule: ribosomal RNA, 348 nt
Filed under: uncultured bacterium
Lineage: Bacteria
Description: bacterial SSU rRNA
Rfam family: Bacterial small subunit ribosomal RNA
Source: RNAcentral